This 400-nucleotide ribosomal RNA is filed under the name uncultured bacterium. RNAcentral's name for it is "bacterial SSU rRNA". It matches the Rfam family "Bacterial small subunit ribosomal RNA", at positions 355 to 766 of the family's 1533-position model. The record is from RNAcentral.
UUUGGAAUAUUGGACAAUGGGCGAAAGCCUGAUCCAGCGACGCCGCGUGGACGAUGAAGGUCUUCGGAUUGUAAAGUCCUUUUGGCAGGGAACAAUUUUUGAGCGUACCUGCAGAAUAAGAGGUUGCUAACUCUGUGCCAGCAGCAGCGGUAAUACAGAGACCUCAAGCGUUAUCCGGAAUCAUUGGGCGUAAAGCGUACCGAUAGGUGGCUUUGCAAGUCAGAAGUGAAAUCUUCAAGCUUAACUUGGAGACUGUCUUUUGAAACUGCAAAGCUAGAGGGGCAAAGAGGAAGCUGGAACGAACGGUGUAGUAGUGAAAUGCGUUGAUAUCGUUCGGAACACCAAUAGCGUAGGCAGGCUUCUGGGUGCCACCUGACACUGCUAGGACGAAAGCGUGGGG